Bos taurus (domestic cattle) is the source of this 73-nucleotide non-coding RNA. NCBI's taxonomy places the organism in Eukaryota, Metazoa, Chordata, Mammalia, Artiodactyla, Bovidae. The record is from Rfam.
UCCCUGGUGGUCCAGUGGUUAAGACUCCAUGCUUCCACUGCAGGGGGUUUGGGUUCAAUUCCUGGUCAGGGAA